Molecule: ribosomal RNA, 253 nt
Filed under: uncultured bacterium
Lineage: Bacteria
Description: partial 16S ribosomal RNA
Rfam family: Bacterial small subunit ribosomal RNA
Source: RNAcentral
UACGUAGGGACCAAGCGUUGUUCGGAUUUACUGGGCGUAAAGGGUGCGUAGGCGGCGCGUCAAGUCAGUUGUGAAAUCUUAAGGCUUAACCUUAAACGGUCAACUGAUACUGUCGUGCUAGAGUGCAGAAAGGGCAAUCGGAAUUCUUGGUGUAGCGGUGAAAUGCGUAGAUAUCAAGAGGAACACCUGAGGCGAAGGCGGGUUGCUUGGCUGACACUGACGCUGAGGCACGAAAGCUAGGGUAGCAAACAGG